Molecule: long non-coding RNA, 2804 nt
Filed under: Trifolium pratense (red clover)
Lineage: Eukaryota; Viridiplantae; Streptophyta; Magnoliopsida; Fabales; Fabaceae
Description: long non-coding RNA (TPRA_LNC000449)
Source: RNAcentral
GGUUGGAGAUGUCUGCAUUUUCGAACUUAUACGUGAGUAUGAAUUACGUGUUCGUAUUGCUGAGGUUGGAAAAGAUGGACUAGACUUCAAGGAUGAAAAACUAGAUUCUUAGCGUGCCUAGUGCAAGAUAAGAUGUCGUUUGUCUUAAACAAAGGCGACCGGUAGGAUAAAAGUCAUCAAAGAUUGGUCAAGAAGCUGUUCCAUCCUGCUAACGUUCUUGUUUGUGAGACAGAUAAAUCAAUUUCCAAUUAGUUGUAUUGUAUCAUCAGUAAUCUAGAUCAUAGAAUGUUUUACAUUUCACCAUUCAAAUCCCAGUUAGUUGUAUCAUCAUUAAUCAAGAUCAUAAAAUGUAGUAAUUAUCUAUUAUGACACUGUUUUUUAGUUCAUAUCAUUGUGAAUUUGUGAUUGCUAUAACAUUCAGUAGGCUUGUGAUGUUGAUCUCUAAUUUUUUAUGAUAAAAUGAAUUUUAUAUACUAAAGUACUAGUAUUAUUAUUUAAUAAUUGUAGUUUGUUGAAUACUUAUGAGUCAAACUACAAUAAAUAUUUAUCUAUUAGCUGAAAAAAAAUAAUUGAUGUUUCUUUGUGGAAAGGAUUCUCUACUGUUGUUUUAGAUUUCAAAAUUUUGGACUAAAUAAAGACCUCGAAAAAUUUAAUAAAUAUUUCUCUAGUUGAGUUUCUAAGACAAAGCCAAUUAUUUUCUUUGAUUUGUGCUCUAUCCUUAGAGUGGGUAAUGAAUGUACUGAUUGACUUGUGAAGAAUGAAGCUUCCUCUGAUUAUACUUUGAAGAUUUGGAAUAAUAUUAUUCUCUUUAACUCAGUCUUGUGUUGUAGGUGUUGCUCGCCCACGAGCUUAGUUUUUUCUUCUUCUUUCUGUGUGUGUUUUUUUUUUUUUUUUCCAUUUCAUUAAAAAAAAUAAAAUCACUGCAUUUUUUUUACUGUUACAAAAAUUCCAAAAUUCAUUCUUUCUCCUGCAUUUCUGAGCAAAAGUGGAGAGGAAAAAAAAAGGCAUAAGGCCUACCAUUUUUUUUUUUUGAAAACUUGGUAUCCGGCGCUAUGACCGACUAAUCCAAGGAGAGCAAUCCCACUUACCAAUUAUUCUUCUCUCUUCUCAAUUUCUCUCGUUGUCAAACAACUCUUUUUUUUCUCUCUUUUUUUUAGGUAUGUUGUGUAAGGGCUUUUCAGCUGAAUGUGUCUAAUCUCAAAUGGAAGUUUUAUAUUUUAAUUGCAGGCACUUCCCAAAACAUUUUCGAACAAUGUAAACAAGAAGUUUGCAGAAAAUGUGACCCUUAGAGGUCCUAGUGGAGUUGUGUGGAAGGUAGGGCUGACUACUAGAGAUGAUACCUUGUACUUCAUGUAACGGUUGGCAACAAUUCGUGAAAGACCACUCUUUGAAAGAGAAUGAUUUCCUUGUCUUUAAAUACAAGGGUGAAUCACACUUUGAGGUCUUAAUCUUUGAUGGAGAAAGUUUAUGUGAGAAAACAGCUUCUUAUUUUGUCGGAAAAUGUGGACAUGCUCAAACUGAACAAGGGGGUAGCAAGGCAAAGGAUACAAACACUUGUGCUGAAGAAGCCAUUAAUACUGCUUCGAAUGGUAAGACUUGUAAUGCUGGUGUUGAAUUUGCUUCCCCCGAGAAAUUAACGGCUGAUGCACUCACUAAGACCACAACUAUACAGUUUCCAUUCCAACCAACCGGCAAAAGGGCCGAGAAACCUGUUAAUGAAGUUACGCCUGUCCAGACUAAGAAACGAGGUAGACCACCAAAAGCAGGUAAUUCUUAUGAGAGAGCACAUGAUUUGGUGGCUUGUAACAAGGAACACUCAGGUAUGGCGGGUUUUUAGCAGAUGACAUGGGAUUAAGCCCAACGCAUGGAGACUUUAGAAACAAUAAAACAGAGAAUGAUGAGGUGGCAAGGAGCGAAAGUCCUCUCUUAAACAAAAGUCCUCUCCUUGGAGUAGAUUUGAGAUAAUGCAAAAUACGGUCUAUAGUCUGCAAAUGUCUCACCCUCAGACCAUGCAUUAACUGACUCACCACUAACUGUAUAAGCCGAAUCCGCCCUAGUGUAAAUAAAUCAAUUUUCCCACUAUUCUUUGAUAUUGGAACCUGUCAACUUUGGCACAUUUCUUCCCAAAGCUUAUCUUAUGAUUUUGCUCAAUGGGAAAACUCGCAUGUUUGCAUCCAAGCUUGUCUGUUUCCAGCAAAAGAUCAUGGUAAUUGCUUAUAGCACAAGCACAUCAUUGCCUUUGAUUUCAUUUUGGGUCUCAAAAAUAUGUAUUAAAACUCAUAUGAUCUUUCCUAGCAGAUUGAUACUUGUCUAGGAAAGAUUAUUUUCAUUUUGUUCCUAUUCACUGUGCUUGGCAUUAACACCGAAGCUCUUGCUAAUUCUGGUUUAUAAUUGAUAUAAUGCAGAAUAUACCAUCUCAAUUUUCGAAAGCACAUUUUCCAAACCGCAUAAUAAAGAUUAUUCUACAUAAUUUGAAGGGAGAACAGUGGACUGUUAAUUGUGUUAAUAGAAAUUUUAAUGUGUUUACAUUCCACUCUAUAUGUGGAGGGUGGAUGGAUUUUGUUCGUGGCAAUGGCAUAAAGAUUGGAAAUGUCUGCAUUUUCGAACUUAUACGUGAGAAUGAAUUACGUGUUUGUAUCGCUGAGGUUGGAAAAGAUGGGCUAGACUUCCAGGAUGAAAAACUAGAUUUUAGUGUGCCUAGUGCAAGACAAGAUGUUCGUAAACAAAGGCAGUGGCGAGGAUAAAAAGUCGUCAAAGAUUAGUCAAGAAGCUGUUUCAUCUACUUGCUAACGUUCUUGUUUGUG